GGGGGGGAGAUGGGUGGGAGUUGGGGGAGGGGGGAGGGAUGGAGUGGGCGGGGAGGGGCGGGGACGGUGUGAGCCCGAGGCUGGGAGCUAGCGUCUGGGGACGCUAGCAGGUCCGGCUGCCUCCAGGCUCCGGAGUUCCUGGGGAGAAAGUUACGCUGGAAAUGUGACUCUGCCGGGGGUGGGGUCAGUCCCUGGGCUCCGGGAGGUUUUCCGGGGGCGGGCAAGGGUGCUGCUCUCGGGAUCCCCUUCCUGCUUGGCUCCUCCUCCUCCUCCUCCCCUUCCUUGAGACGACCAUUUUGGGGAGGGGGAUCUGGAAGCCGGCUCGGGCUGCGUUUCCACGGGAGUCGAGAGCAGCUGCCUCCCCGCACCCCUCUCGUAUCGCAACGGGCGCUUGGGCUGCGCCACCUGCCGUGUAGACCCGUCGAGAAGCCAGUGCGGGUGAAAUGCUCGGACCUCCGCAGAGAGCAGUUUUAAGAGGCCAGAUUGAGGAGUUCCCGCAGUGGCUCAGCGGAACUGACCCGACUAGUAUCCAUGAGGUUGCGGCUUCGAUCCCUGGCCUCGCUCAGUGGGUGAAGGAUCUGGCGUUGCCCUGAGCCGUGGAGUAGGUCGCAGAUGCAUCUCGGAUCCUGCCUUGCUGUGGCUGUGGUGUAGGCCGGCAACUGUAGCUCCGAUUCGCCCCCUAGCCUGGGAACCUCCAUAUGUGCAAGUUCGGCCCUAAAAAGCAAAAAACAAGGGGUGGGGGGCAAGUUGAAGGGAAAGUGACCGAGUCGUCAGGAUGAAAGCCCCUUGAUCUGAAUAAGUUGCACGGUUUGUCUUUCGUGGUCUCUCGGGAAGGCUGGUUCCCCAGGAGCUCCAGGCACAGAUGGGGGUGUGUUUCAUCUGCCACAUGUGGCAGUUUUCCUGCCACCUGCCCACCGAGCUGGCCCAGAAUCAUGCCUUCUGACUCUUUUUCC
This 953-nucleotide long non-coding RNA is filed under the name Sus scrofa (pig). Its description in RNAcentral is "lncRNA (ENSSSCG00070027888.1)". The record is from RNAcentral. Lineage: Eukaryota; Metazoa; Chordata; Mammalia; Artiodactyla; Suidae.